GGAAGAGGGACGUACACUUCCUUCUAACCUCGCUAAUGGUCUUUGACUUGUUCCAGGGCUACUCAAGUCUGGAGAAGUCAUCUGAGUUGCUUCAGGAAUCCCUGUUGGUUGUGCUUCAGGCUGAGAUGCUUGAUCAAGUGUAGGUCUAUAUGGUGGAUUAAUAUUUACGGAUGAAGCCACUGCUAAAUUAUCACGUACUCCUUCAAUAUUAGCACGCCCACGGCCCCUUCCACCUCGCCGACCUCUACCUCGUGCAGAUCUUGCCAUUUCUGCGACAUCACAUAAAAAGUACAUAAAGAUUCAAAAAAUGUUAUAUAGUAGUGAAAGCAUAAAAAUAUACAAUAAUGAGAUGUGGACCCCAAGGAUGCUUGAUGUGCGUUAUAUGAAGAACCCAAUAAUCAGACAGCAGAACAGUAAAGCUAAAAAUAUUGAAAAACAAGUUAAGUCCAUCGGAAAAUGCACAGGCCCAACACAUUUCUGGCAAUCGAGACCAAAGUCCUUCCUAGAAACGAGGCAAACGGUAUGUUGCGCUCUCUUCAAAAAUGCCAAACGGGUGCAUGUCGGCUCCUCCAAAAGUGGUGCAAUAUUUUGGAAUAUCCGACACAGGUGCAUCAACAUUUUGGAGAAUCAGAGCAAGAUGUUUCACUCAGGCUCAUGUUUCUGUUAUUGGCUGAACUUGAAUAAAAUCUCCAGCGUCCUUUGUAAAGGACACAUUCGAUUGAUACACAUUAUUCGUAAGUGUAAAAAUAAUAACAUAAAAUCGAUUUCUGCAAACCUUAUGCAGAAUAUGAACUGCUGUUAUCAGGUUAACUCCCCUAAUUGCAAUUGUCUACUAGCCCAUGGAACACUUAAGUAGGCACAGUACAAAUAAAUGAGAAGGGUAGAGUGGCGGACCCAUUACUAACUGAGUUUCUAACCAUGGACCACUAGCUUGCGUGGAUUUCUUAGUUAUCAAAAAAAAUUGAUACAUUAUAAAGCCUUGAAGAUUCUCAUUGAAACGAUGGGGGGAAAAACACAGCAUGAUCGCAUUACAAGAUAACUGAACAACAAUAUAAGUACAAAAUAGACGCUACAAAGAUGGACAGGGCGUCAAGCGAACAACAACAGAAUACUAAAACCAAGCUACAAGAACCUGUCUUUUGAAAAAACUAAAUGACCAGUACAAGUUAAAAUUGCAUAAUAAUUAUACGAAGUACAUAAGAGGAGAUAAAGAGACCACUUAUAAGUGUUGAAAUGCGAGAAAACUAAGUGUUGAAAUGCGAGAAAACUAACCUUCACCGCUAUUUAAAUUCUCUGGAGAUGGACGUACACUUCUUUUCAUAUUCCUUGAUAAUUGUGACUCCGACAAUGGUCUUUGACUUGUUCCAGGGUUACUUAAGUCUGGAGAAGUCGACUGAGUUACUUUAGGAAUCCCUGUUGGUUGUGCUUGCGGCUGAGAUGCUUGAUCAAGUGUAGGUCUAGCUGGUGGAUUAAUAUUUACAGAUGACUCCAAAGCAAAAUUAUCACGUACUCCUUCAAUAUUACCACGCCCGCGGCCCCUUCCACCUCGCCGGCUUCUACCUCUACCUCGCACAGAUCUUGCCAUUUCUGCUACAUCACAUAAAAAGUAUAUAAAGAUUCAAAAAAAAAUUAAAUAUUAUUAAAAGAAUAAAAAUAUACAAUAAUUAGAGAUCUGGACCCCCAGGAUGCUUGAUGAGCCUUAUACUAAGAAAUCAACAAUCAGACAGCAGAAACAGUAAGGUUAAACAUAUUGACAAACAAGAUAAAUCCAUCAGAAAAUUCAUAGGCCCAACACGUUUCUGGCAAUUGAGAACAGAUAAGUGUAUGAUUGGGGCCAAAGUCCUUUUUAGAGAUGAGGCAAAUGGUAUGUUGUGCACGCUUCAAAAAUGCCAAAAGGUGUGUGUCGGAUCCUCCAAAAGUGGUGCAAUUUUUUGGAAUAUCCGACACAGGUGGAACAACAUGUUGGAGAAUCCGAACAAGAUAUUUCACUCAGGCUGAUGUUUCUACUAUUUGGCUGAACUUGAAUAAAAUCUCCAAUGCACUUUGUAAAAGGAGACAGUCUAUUGAUACACAUUAUUCAAAAGAGUAAACAAAAUAACAUAAAAAUUGAUUUCUGAAAACCUUAUUCAGAAUAUGGACUUGAUGUUAUUAGGUUAAUGCCCCUUAUUGCAAUUGUUUACAAGUUCAUGGACACUUACAUAGGCUCAGUAUAAAUAAAUGAGGUUAGAGGGUAAAAAACUUUCAAAAUUAUUAUAUUUAAAUGGAGAAGGGUAGAGUGGAGGAUCCAUGACAAACCGAUUUUCGAACUGCGAACCACUGGCUCGUGUGGAUUUCUCAAUUAUCAAAAGAAAAAAAAAAUUGGUAUAUUAUACAGCCUCGAAGAUUCUCGUUGAAACGAUGCGGAAAAAAAAAGACAGCAUAAUCUCAUUACUACAUAACUGAACAGCAAUAUAAGUACAUAAGAGAUGCUACAAAAGUUGGACAGGGUGUCGAGUGAACAACAGAAUAUUAAAAUCAAGCUACAAGAAUCUUUCUUUCAAAAAAAAUCAAAUGACCAAUACAAUUUAAAAUUGCAUAAUAAGUACAUAAGAGGAGAGGGAAACAGACCACUUAUAAUUAUUGAAAUGCGAGAAAACCAACCUUCACCACUAGUUAAAUUCCCUGGAGAUGGACGUACACUUCUUUCCGUGUUCCUUGAUAAUUGUGACCCCGACAAUGGUCUUUGACUUGUUCCAGGGUUCCUUAAGUCUGGAGAAGUCGACUGAGUUGCUUCAGAUAUUCCUGUUGGUUGUGCUUGCAGAUGAGAUGCUUGAUCAAGUGUAGGUCUAUAUGGUGGAUUAAUAUUUACGGAUGAUGCCACAGCAAGAUUAUCACGUACUCCAUCAAUUUUACCACGCCCGCGGCCCCUUCCACCUAACCGACCUCUACCUCUACCUCGUG
RNAcentral lists this long non-coding RNA (2940 nucleotides) under Capsicum annuum. Its description in RNAcentral is "long non-coding RNA (CANN_LNC001730)". Lineage: Eukaryota; Viridiplantae; Streptophyta; Magnoliopsida; Solanales; Solanaceae. The record is from RNAcentral.